Non-coding RNA from Megalops atlanticus (tarpon), 78 nucleotides. The record is from the annotation of a GenBank genome assembly. NCBI's taxonomy places the organism in Eukaryota, Metazoa, Chordata, Actinopteri, Elopiformes, Megalopidae.
GGCAGUGUAGCUUAGUGGUAAGGAGCAGGGUUUGUAACCAAGAGGUUGCUGGUUUGAUUCCAUGCUGGGGCACUGCCA